This is a non-coding RNA of Danio rerio (zebrafish), 82 nucleotides long. NCBI's taxonomy places the organism in Eukaryota, Metazoa, Chordata, Actinopteri, Cypriniformes, Danionidae. The record is from Rfam.
GUAGUCGUGGCCGAGUGGUUAAGGCGAUGGACUUCAAAUCCAUUGGGGUCUCCCCGCGCAGGUUUGAAUCCUGCCGACUACG